UACGUAGGUGACCAGCGUUGUCCGGAUUUACUGGGCGUAAAGAGCGCGCAGGCGGUCGUUCAAGUCGAGUGUGAAAGCCCCCGGCUCAACUGGGGAGGGUCAUUCGAUACUGAUCGACUGGAAGGCAGGAGAGGGAAGCGGAAUUCCCGGUGUAGUGGUGAAAUGCGUAGAUAUCUGGAGGAACACCGGUGGCGAAGGCGGCAUCCUGGACCGACACUGACGCUGAGGAGCGAAAGCCAGGGGAGCAAACGGG
This 253-nucleotide ribosomal RNA is filed under the name uncultured bacterium. Its description in RNAcentral is "partial 16S ribosomal RNA". It matches the Rfam family "Bacterial small subunit ribosomal RNA", at positions 524 to 776 of the family's 1533-position model. The record is from RNAcentral.